GGGGUUGUGGCUCAGUGGUAGAGUACUUGCCUAGCAUGUGUGAGGUGCUCAGUUCAAUUCUCAGCACCUCA
Molecule: transfer RNA, 71 nt
Filed under: Marmota marmota marmota (Alpine marmot)
Lineage: Eukaryota; Metazoa; Chordata; Mammalia; Rodentia; Sciuridae
Also listed under: 1 other name
Source: Rfam by way of RNAcentral